GACGUAGGGGACGAGCGUUGUCCGGAUUCAUUGGGCGUAAAGCGCGCGUAGGCGGUUACGCAAGUCGGUUGUGAAAAUCCGGGGCUCAACCCCGGACCUGCAUCCGAUACUGCGUGACUAGAGGUAGGUAGGGGAGAUCGGAAUUCCUGGUGUAGCGGUGAAAUGCGCAGAUAUCAGGAGGAACACCGGUGGCGAAGGCGGAUCUCUGGGCCUGUUCUGACGCUGAGGCGCGAAAGCUAGGGGAGCGAACAGG
RNAcentral lists this ribosomal RNA (253 nucleotides) under uncultured bacterium. Its description in RNAcentral is "partial 16S ribosomal RNA". It matches the Rfam family "Bacterial small subunit ribosomal RNA", at positions 524 to 776 of the family's 1533-position model. The record is from RNAcentral.